UCGCGGCGUUGUGGGGGAUAAGACCCUCUGGGACCUCCGCAAACCCCCGCUCGCCCCGUAUUGCUCUGCUCCGCCAUCGGGAGGAUCCACCACCGCAGCGCAACCCGCACCAUCGCCAUCGGCGCCGCGUCCACGAUUUAGUACUCGGGUGCCUCGCCGUGCUUCGGGGAUAGGACCGGGGCCUCGCUACGGGAGAAGGGCGGCCGGUGACCUCGGAUUUCGUCGACCCUGGCGGCGGCGAUUGCUCACCGUCGCGGUGUUGUCGCCGCGGAAGCACUGCGCGCGGGAGCAGCUUCACCAACCUUCCUAACGCCGGUAAUGACCCUCCCAUCGUGUUCACUGUCGAUCGCUCAUGGAUAUGCACUAGAAAUCGAGUCGGGACUGACUCUGGGGGCCGGAGCAGGGCGCACGACGGCGAAGGACCGCCGUAGGGUGUGGGCGGCGCCGCCGUGACCCGGUAGCUCAGGGUAGGGGGCAGUGGGACCGUCUGAUCUUAUCGGACGGUCUAGGUUCGAACCAGCGUGAGCCGUUGAUGCGGGGAUGGUCGACCCAGAUCAGGACUCCCAUACCGCUUCGCGUCAUUUAAUCUGUGCCGUUGAUCGUCGAAUCCACGAUCCGUAUCGGGUUUCGCUAUUUUCAAUCGCUACCAUCGAUUCCGGAUCCAGCGGGCCGGAUGGCGUACCGGUUCGCUUAGAUGUAGGUUUAAUCUGGCGCGCCCAAGUCUAAUCCAACGGCCGAGGCUCGCCCAUACCGCUUCAUUGGCCGUUUUGCUAAAGAGCCCUUCGCUUAUUAGAUAAUAAACCCGCCGUCCUGUGCGGGUGUAGUUUGUGCCUUGGGGAUUCUUACCCCGAGCCCCCUGGGUUUCUCUGGAAUUGAGGCCCAGUCCAGUGAGCAUUUAAAUUGAAUAAAUAAAAUAGAAAAUAGAUUUUUAAUACAAAAAUAAUUGCUAGAACUUAGAUAAUUCAUAGAAAAUUCAUUUUAGCUCCAAAUUGAACCAUUCCAGUUUCUAAAAUUUUGUAAUAAUAUUCUUCAUCAUUUUGUGCCUCUGUUUUGGCAUGAAAGGCUCAUUAAAAUUUAUCUAAUACUUAAUCUUGUACUAAACACAUAAAACAUUAGAAAAUCCAUAACUUAAAAUCUAUAACUCCAAAAUUAAUGAUCCUGUUCCUAUGAUCUUAUUUUAAUAUGUAUAUUAAUAAUGUGUAUUUUGUUCUUAUGUUUGGUGUAAUGUUAAUCUUGCCUAUACACUGUUUGUUGUAUUGCUACGACUAGUGCGAGGUCACGAGUCAUCUGAAGAUCAUCCUGGUACCUGGAUUCUCAAGGCCCAGGCAAGUUGUGCCCUUGAUCACUUCUUUUUACCCACUCAUGUUCUGAUUAAUCAUAAUGAUCUGCAUAGGUUAAUUUUGAUGGGACCCAACAGGUUACCUAGUUUGAUUAUCUUUAUACCUUGUUCACCACUGAACUUUCUGGGUAGUACUUGCUAGUGCUAUAUGUGGUUUUGGGUAUGGAGAUACACUAUUCAUGGUUACACUUUUGUUAUCAGUUAUUAUUUAUUGUUCAUAUUGAGAUCAUUAUGUUAAUUGGAACAUGGAGAACCACCCGGGAAAACAGUGCUACCACAAGGGUUUAAUGGGACGCCCUUGGCUGAUUAAUUAGGAAAGCUAGUGGAAGACUACCUUACCCGAAAGGGGCAAGGGCAGUAGGGGAGAGGUCAGUGCGGGAAGUGCCCUCGGGAGGAUUUUGCUGUGAUGGCGGUCCUGCAAGGGAUUCCUGGGAAGGCCCUCGGGAGGAUUUUGCUGUGAUGGCGGUCCUGCAAGGGAUUCCUGGGGAGGCCCUCGGGAGGAUUUUGCUGUGAUGGCGGUCCUGCAAGGGAUUCCUGUACUGGAUCUUCCUAUAAACUGUAGCGGGUUUUCGGAAGCUAGUGGAACUUUGUAAAGGCCUCGUAGUGGAUCCCUAGCCAUUCACCUUGGAAGUGUCUAAGGGCCUUGCAAACCCUGGCGACAUGGGAUACACGACUUGUGGGUAAAGAUGCGCAACCUCUGCAGAGUGUAAAACUGGUAUACUAGCCGUGCUCACGGUCAUGAGCGGCUCGGACACUCACAUGAUUAAUUUAUGGAACUAAACUCAAUUUGUCAUAUGCAUUGCAUUGCAGGUGAUGUGGUUACUUUUGUUCUACUACUUAAUUGGGUUUGGUAUUUACUUAUACUUAGUAACUGCUAAUAAAAUUUUGACCAACUUUAAAAGCAAUGCUCAGCUCUAACCAUCUUCUUUGGUAAGCCUUACACUUCACGUGAGCUCCCACCUUUGGCGAGUUCAUGCACAUUAUUCCCCACAACUUGUUGAGCGAUGAACGUAUGUGAGCUCACUCUUGCUGUCUCACAUACACCGCAGGUCAAGACCAGGUACUGCAGGAUGAUGCUCAUGGAGGAUGCCGCGAUGAGUUCGUGAGAGGUCUAGGUCGUCGUCUCCCAGUCAACUUUGGGUUGCUGGACCGUUGUCUCCUUAUAAUUAUUUAUUUUGUAUAGAACUCCUGUGAUAUAUAAUGUUGUGACAUUCGAUCCUGUGCCACUAUACAUCAUAUGUUUGAGACUUGGUCCCAGCAUACCUGGUGUUUAUGUUAACCCCGGGUUUUGGACCCCUAAAAUCCGGGUGUUACA
RNAcentral lists this long non-coding RNA (2654 nucleotides) under Zea mays. RNAcentral describes it as "long non-coding RNA (ZMAY_LNC001959)". Lineage: Eukaryota; Viridiplantae; Streptophyta; Magnoliopsida; Poales; Poaceae. The record is from RNAcentral.